AAUGAACGCUGGCGGCAGGCCUAACACAUGCAAGUCGAACGGAUCCUUCGGGAUUAGUGGCGGACGGGUGAGUAACGCGUGGGAACAUACCCUUUGGUACGGAAUAGCCUCGGGAAACUGGGAGUAAUACCGUAUGUGGUCGAGAGACGAAAGAUUUAUCGCCAAAGGAUUGGCCCGCGUUGGAUUAGAUAGAUGGCGGGGUAACGGGCCCACCAUGUCAGCGAUGGGUAGCCGAGCUGAGAGGCUGAUCGGCCACACUGGAACUGAGACACGGUCCAGACUCCUACGGGAGGCAGCAGUGGGGAAUAUUGGGCAAUGGGCGCAAGCCUGACCCAGCAACGCCGCGUGAGGGAAGAAGGCUUUCGGGUUGUAAACCUCUGUCCUUGGUGACGAAAAAAUGACGGUAGCCAAGGAGGAAGCCCCGGCUAACUACGUG
This 436-nucleotide ribosomal RNA is filed under the name uncultured bacterium. RNAcentral describes it as "bacterial SSU rRNA". It matches the Rfam family "Bacterial small subunit ribosomal RNA", at positions 29 to 507 of the family's 1533-position model. The record is from RNAcentral.